RNAcentral lists this unclassified non-coding RNA (261 nucleotides) under fungal sp. Its description in RNAcentral is "partial internal transcribed spacer region". The stretch from base 1 to 46 matches the Rfam family "Eukaryotic small subunit ribosomal RNA", at positions 1786 to 1831 of the family's 1831-position model. Lineage: Eukaryota; Fungi. The record is from RNAcentral.
AAGUCGUAACAAGGUAACCGUAGGUGAACCUGCGGUUGGAUCAUUCAUUAUCUUUAUUGUUUGAUUGGGAUCCUCUAUCUCUCUCUCAAGGAGAGACAUGAUCUCAUGAUACACAAUGUGAAUUUCCGAUUGUGAUUUGUGACAAGGAGGUUUAUAAUCUCCUUGGAAACACCAUGACACUAUAUUAUUUAAUGACUUGUACAUGACACCAAUAGUGAAAUGUUAAAAAACAACUUUUGACAAUGGAUCUCUUGGUUCUCA